RNAcentral lists this microRNA precursor (93 nucleotides) under Nicotiana sylvestris (wood tobacco). Its description in RNAcentral is "mir-156 microRNA precursor family". It matches the Rfam family "mir-156 microRNA precursor family". From Rfam's summary of the family: This family represents the plant microRNA (miRNA) precursor mir-156. Animal miRNAs are transcribed as ~70nt precursors and subsequently processed by the Dicer enzyme to give a ~22nt product. The record is from Rfam by way of RNAcentral. RNAcentral also lists the same sequence under 1 other name. Lineage: Eukaryota; Viridiplantae; Streptophyta; Magnoliopsida; Solanales; Solanaceae.
GUGACAGAAGAGAAUGAGCACACAUGGUGUUUUCUUACAUGAGAUAUAUAUAUUCAUGCUUGAAACUAUGCGUGCUCACUCUCUAUCUGUCAC